Molecule: long non-coding RNA, 862 nt
Filed under: Carica papaya (papaya)
Lineage: Eukaryota; Viridiplantae; Streptophyta; Magnoliopsida; Brassicales; Caricaceae
Description: long non-coding RNA (CPAP_LNC008072)
Source: RNAcentral
UUUAUGCGUAUAUUUACUAGCGAGUUAUAUGAGAUUAAUCUAAAAUUUAAUUACAAUCUCCUUUUUUUGCCAUGGCCAACUUAAUUCUACUUAUAUUUAAAGCUUCUUCUUGACGAUGAUAAAGAGUGUUGAUCAUCAACAAACCUGUAGUAAUUAAAUAUUAAUCAAAUUAAACACAAUGUAAUAAUUACAAAUUAUUAGUAAUGUAAUAUAUAUGAGGAAGAAUGAAUUAAAAUAGUGUAUGAUUAAUUCCAUAUCACACAUAUAUGGCUGGAUUGAAGAAUUUAAUCAUAUAUAUAUAUAUAUAUAUAAUAGUAAUGAAAGGGAAACCAACCCAGCUGUGCGUUGAGGCAUUCUACGCAGGAGUCCAAGGAAUGAAAGGAGAGGUGGUAUGACACAUGGAGAAGAAAACGAGAAGUAGAAAACAAAAUCUAAAAUUCUGAUCCCGAAGGCCGCACGCGUUUCAACUUUUUUGACUGGAUACUCUACCUGUAUGCUUCCCUCUAGCAGCUGGAAUUUCUCGAGUCUUCUGUAAUUUAUGCAAUGGUUUGACACAGUCUACUCCAGUACACCCAACUUAGAACCAAUUACAGAAUAUAGGAAUAUACCUUUGGCUCUAUAUACAUCAGACUAUUACAUUUGCAUUGUACAAGUCAUACAAGAUUUUAUACACAGUCCGGUUAAGUUUACCUUACCCUCACAUCUUACUUCUCAUGUAGAAUUAACUGAUUAUAAAACACGAAAGCAAAGCAGACAGAGUUUGGACGGUUCAGAUGUUUAUCGGGAUUUGUACUUGGAAUGCAUGUUUCGUGUAUAAUGCAGCUGCAGAUGAUGUUUCCACUGAAGGUGCCAGUAUCUGUUG